This 72-nucleotide transfer RNA is filed under the name Phrynosoma platyrhinos (Desert horned lizard). RNAcentral describes it as "tRNA-OTHER". Lineage: Eukaryota; Metazoa; Chordata; Lepidosauria; Squamata; Phrynosomatidae. The record is from RNAcentral.
GCCAGAAUGGUGUAGCGGUUUGAGUGUUGGACUGUGACUCUGGAGACCAGGGUUCGAUUCCCAGAUCAGCCA